GAUGAACGCUGGCGGCGUGCCUAAUACAUGCAAGUCGAGCGAACAGAUGAGGAGCUUGCUCCUCUGACGUUAGCGGCGGACGGGUGAGUAACACGUGGAUAACCUACCUAUAAGACUGGGAUAACUUCGGGAAACCGGAGCUAAUACCGGAUAAUAUAUUGAACCGCAUGGUUCAAUAGUGAAAGACGGUUUUGCUGUCACUUAUAGAUGGAUCCGCGCCGCAUUAGCUAGUUGGUAAGGUAACGGCUUACCAAGGCAACGAUGCGUAGCCGACCUGAGAGGGUGAUCGGCCACACUGGAACUGAGACACGGUCCAGACUCCUACGGGAGGCAGCAGUAGGGAAUCUUCGGCAAUGGGCGAAAGCCUGACGGAGCAACGCCGCGUGAGUUAUGAAGGUCUUCGGAUCGUAAAGCUCUGUUAUUAGGGAAGAACAAAUGUGUAAGUAACUAUGGACGUCUUGACGGUACCUAAUCAGAAAGCAACGGCUAACUACGUG
RNAcentral lists this ribosomal RNA (497 nucleotides) under uncultured bacterium. RNAcentral's name for it is "partial 16S ribosomal RNA". It matches the Rfam family "Bacterial small subunit ribosomal RNA", at positions 28 to 507 of the family's 1533-position model. The record is from RNAcentral.